Molecule: transfer RNA, 76 nt
Filed under: Prevotella sp. CAG:487
Lineage: Bacteria; Pseudomonadati; Bacteroidota; Bacteroidia; Bacteroidales; Prevotellaceae
Description: transfer RNA-Met(CAT)
Rfam family: tRNA
About the family: Transfer RNA (tRNA) molecules are approximately 80 nucleotides in length. Their secondary structure includes four short double-helical elements and three loops (D, anti-codon, and T loops). Further hydrogen bonds mediate the characteristic L-shaped molecular structure. tRNAs have two regions of fundamental functional importance: the anti-codon, which is responsible for specific mRNA codon recognition, and the 3' end, to which the tRNAs corresponding amino acid is attached (by aminoacyl-tRNA synthetases). tRNAs cope with the degeneracy of the genetic code in two manners: having more than one tRNA (with a specific anti-codon) for a particular amino acid; and 'wobble' base-pairing, i.e. permitting non-standard base-pairing at the 3rd anti-codon position.
Source: RNAcentral
CGCGGGAUGGAGCAGCUGGCAGCUCGUGAGGUUCAUUCCCUCAAGGUCGGCGGUUCGAGUCCGCCUCCCGCAACAA